UCGAACGGCAACGAGGAGAAGCUUGCUUCUCUGUCGGCGAGUGGCGAACGGGUGAGUAUAGCAUCGGAACGUGCCAAGUAGUGGGGGAUAACCAAACGAAAGUUUUGCUAAUACCGCGUAAGCUCUAAGGAGGAAAGUAGGGGACCUAAAUAAGGCCUUACGCUAUUUGAUCGGCCGAUGUCGGAUUAGCUAGUUGGUGGGGUAAUGGCUCACCAAGGCAAUGAUCCGUAGCGGGUCUGAGAGGACGAUCCGCCACACUGGGACUGAGACACGGCCCAGACUCC
This 284-nucleotide ribosomal RNA is filed under the name unidentified marine bacterioplankton. RNAcentral's name for it is "partial 16S ribosomal RNA". It matches the Rfam family "Bacterial small subunit ribosomal RNA", at positions 62 to 339 of the family's 1533-position model. The record is from RNAcentral.